AACGAACGCUGGCGGCGCGCCUAACACAUGCAAGUCGAACGAGAAUCCGGGGCAACCCGGUAGUAAAGUGGCAAACGGGUGAGGAAUACAUGGGUAACCUACCCUUGAGAAGGGAAUAACCCGCCGAAAGGUGAGCUAAUACCCUAUACGCUAUCUUUUUUUCGAAAAAGAUAGGAAAGCCGGGUCGAGGACCUGGUACUCAAGGAGGGGCUCAUGUCCUAUCAGCUUGUUGGUGGGGUAACGGCCUACCAAGGCUACGACGGGUAGCUGGUCUGAGAGGAUGAUCAGCCACACUGGCACUGAGAUACGGGCCAGACUCCUACGGGAGGCAGCAGUGAGGAAUAUUGCGCAAUGGGCGAAAGCCUGACGCAGCGACGCUGCGUGGGGGAUGAAGGUUUUCGGAUUGUAAACCCUUUCAUGAGGAAGAUAAAGUGGGUAACCACUUAGACGGUACCUCAAGAAGAAGCCACGGCUAACUUCGUGCCAGCAGCCGCGGUAAAGUCU
Molecule: ribosomal RNA, 504 nt
Filed under: uncultured bacterium
Lineage: Bacteria
Description: bacterial SSU rRNA
Rfam family: Bacterial small subunit ribosomal RNA
Source: RNAcentral